This 1221-nucleotide long non-coding RNA is filed under the name Numida meleagris (helmeted guineafowl). RNAcentral's name for it is "lncRNA (ENSNMEG00000010707.1)". The record is from RNAcentral. Lineage: Eukaryota; Metazoa; Chordata; Aves; Galliformes; Numididae.
UUCUGCUUUUUUUUUUUUUUUUGAAGAGUGGGGAUUGUUCUUGUUUAGCAUUAAACCAAUAGGAAUUCCUCAAUGAAAAAUAAAUACAUAUUUGGUACCUGGCAAGGCAAAUUUUUGCUUCAAUAGGCUUAAUACACUGCAGCUUUUGGUCUGGAAACUGGAGAACUCUCCAAGCUGAAUGCCCGCAGCACUGUGUUCUUGAAAUAUGCAUUGCCUCUUGAAUACACUUAAAAAUCCAUAGACAUUAUGGUUUUAGUACUGCGCUUGGUAAACAUGCAUUUUCAAAAGCCAGCUUUUUAUAUCCCACCACUGCAAUGCUUUUUUGUUGCCAGUUUCUCUACUCCUCUGGCCACCAAAUCGUCACAGCAGGAAGCUACACAGAUUUAGUAGAUAAAUAUGAAAUCAGGCUAAUAGCAGGUGAAAUUAUUUAUAUAGGGACUGGCACCAGUCACAGAGUCCUUGUCACAGCAUCUGGGACUCUCGCGGUCACUUGUAGCGUGGCACUGCACCACAGGGACACUCACAUUACUCUGCUUUUCAAGCUAGGCAGCUGAAAAAGGCUGGUAUUUUAACAUCAGGCAUUGUGGCCAGACUCAAAAGGGAAGUCUGGCCUGGAGAAACAAACUCCCAGAGCCAAGGUGAGGCCAACAGUGAAGCUGCUUUCAUUUUAAUAGGGAUAGGAAGUCACCUCAGCAAGCAGCCAAGGAUAGAUACAUCAGGCUGACCUGGGAACACUGUAACUUCCAUUACUGUAAGUUCAUUUCCUCUCAAACCUGCUGGCAGGCCCAUGGAACUGGAGAAGGCUAGGCUGCAGUCCUGGCCACAGCAGGUGCUGUGCAGGCCCUGCUGCACCACAGUUCUUGGACUUAUUCAGGAUAUGUUGACUACGGCAGAAGAUCAUCCAACCUCCGGAAGUGUCCAAAUUUGCAAGACAUGUAAUUGCCCAGAUGAUAAAGCUGGAUGCUGUGGCAAAAGGCAUAAUGGAAGGAAUGUGACUCACUUCUCACCUGUCUUUCCCAAAGUGUGCUGGCAGCCAAGUAUGACAUUUGAGACAGUUUCAAAAGACUGUUUCUCUUCUCAAAUAAAAUGAAGCUUUAUUCAGAUACUCCUUUUAAUUCUGAAGUCUGAAAGAGGCCAUGUACUUAACAUCCUCAGAAGCUGGGCUGGACUGGAAUGGAAAUGGAAAUACUGGAGCUAGCACAUGUGUUGCUACUUCUUUUG